AUAGGAACAGGCCCAUAGUGUUAGAUCCAGCGCUCAGAAGGGAGCUUGCUCCCGGAUGUUAGCGGCGGACGGGUGAGUAACACGUGGGUAACCUGCCUGUAAGACUGGGAUAACUCCGGGAAACCGGAGCUAAUACCGGAUAGUUCCUUGAACCGCAUGGUUCAAGGAUGAAAGACGGUUUCGGCUGUCACUUACGAUGGACCCGCGGCGCAUUAGCUAGUUGGUGGGGUAAUGGCUCACCAAUGCGACAUGCGUAGCCAACCUGAGAGGGUGAUCGGCCACACUGGGACUGAGACACGGCCCAGACUCCUACGGGAGGCAGCAGUAGGGAAUCUUCCGCAAUGGACGAAAGUCUGACGGAGCAACGCCGCGUGAGUGAUGAAGGUUUUCGGACCGUAAAGCUCUGUUGUUAGGGAAGAACAAGUGCAAGAGUAACUGCUCGCACCUUGACGGUACCUAAUCAGAAAGCCACGGCUAACUACAUGCCGGCAGCCGCGGGGGUAGGUAGGUGGCCCCCGUUGUCCGGACUUAGUGGGCGUAAAGGGCUCGCAGGCGAUUUCUUAAGUCUGAUGUUAAACCCGCAGCUCAGCGUGGGAGGGUCAUUGGAAGCUGGGAAACUUGGGUGCAGAAGAGAAGAAUGCAUUCACCAUGUGGGCUUGCGUGUGGACAGCG
This 672-nucleotide ribosomal RNA is filed under the name Bacillus zhangzhouensis. Its description in RNAcentral is "bacterial SSU rRNA". It matches the Rfam family "Bacterial small subunit ribosomal RNA", at positions 72 to 708 of the family's 1533-position model. Lineage: Bacteria; Bacillati; Bacillota; Bacilli; Caryophanales; Bacillaceae. The record is from RNAcentral.